Molecule: ribosomal RNA, 538 nt
Filed under: Symbiodinium sp. A2
Lineage: Eukaryota; Dinophyceae; Suessiales; Symbiodiniaceae
Description: partial 23S ribosomal RNA
Rfam family: Bacterial large subunit ribosomal RNA
Source: RNAcentral
AUAACGGUCCUAAGGUAGCAAAUUUCCUUGUCGUCUUAAUAACGACCUGCAUGAAACAUAGAACGAUUCGAUAACUGUCUUGCGCACACAUCAUGGUAAAAUAUUCAUCAGUACAAAGAAUAUGCUGGAACACACUAAAGGACAAAAAGACCCUUUGAAGCUUUAUAGGGAUAAAAUCUCGUACAUACUCACUGUGAUUUACUGAUGGCUCCAACAAGCGAGAGGACCAAAACUGUUUAAUUGGGGCGAUAAGCUUAUAUAAUCCACCUAAGGUGAACAAAGCCAUCCAACUCAACCAACUAAUAAGUGUAAAGAUACAUGUUUCGCUUAAUGGCCUAGGAAGUCCUUACCAGUAUUUAAAUGCUAUCUUAAUGAGCUUAAAAUUAAUCUACCAACACCAAGCUACUCUACGGAUAACAGGCUUAAUUUCGGCAAUACGAAAGCUCACAUUAUCAAGAAAAAUGCACCUCGAUGUCGGCUUAUCAUCACCAAAAUCUGUAGCUAGCUUAUUGGUAGGAGUGCUCAUCCUGUAAAUCGG